CUACGGGGUGCACCAGUGGGGAAUAUUGCACAAUGGGGGAAACCCUGAUGCAGCAACGCCGCGUGAGUGAUGAAGUAUUUCGGUAUGUAAAGCUCUAUCAGCAGGGAAGAUAAUGACGGUACCUGACUAAGAAGCUCCGGCUAAAUACGUGCCAGCAGCCGCGGUAAUACGUAUGGAGCAAGCGUUAUCCGGAUUUACUGGGUGUAAAGGGAGCGCAGACGGUGAUGCAAGUCAGAAGUGAAAGCCCGCGGCUUAACUGCGGGACUGCUUUUGAAACUGUAUGACUAGAGUGCUGGAGGGGCAAGCGGAAUUCCUGGUGUAGCGGUGAAAUGCGUAGAUAUCAGGAGGGACACCGGUGGCGAAGGCGGCUUGCUGGACAGUAACUGACGUUGAGGCUCGAAAGCGUGGGGAGCAAACAGGAUUAGAUACCCCCGUAGUC
This 439-nucleotide ribosomal RNA is filed under the name uncultured bacterium. RNAcentral's name for it is "partial 16S ribosomal RNA". It matches the Rfam family "Bacterial small subunit ribosomal RNA", at positions 339 to 795 of the family's 1533-position model. The record is from RNAcentral.